GACGAACGCUGGCGGAGUGAUUAACACAUGCAAGUCGAACGGAAAGGCCCUGCUUUUGUGGGGUGCUCGAGUGGCGAACGGGUGAGUAACACGUGAGUAACCUGCCCUUGACUUUGGGAUAACUUCAGGAAACUGGGGCUAAUACCGGAUAGGAGCUCCUGCUGCAUGGUGGGGGUUGGAAAGUUUCGGCGGUUGGGGAUGGACUCGCGGCUUAUCAGCUUGUUGGUGGGGUAGUGGCUUACCAAGGCUUUGACGGGUAGCCGGCCUGAGAGGGUGACCGGCCACAUUGGGACUGAGAUACGGCCCAGACUCCUACGGGAGGCAGCAGUGGGGAAUAUUGCACAAUGGGCGGAAGCCUGAUGCAGCAACGCCGCGUGCGGGAUGACGGCCUUCGGGUUGUAAACCGCUUUCGCCUGUGACGAAGCGUGAGUGACGGUAAUGGGUAAAGAAGCACCAGCUAACUACGUG
This 468-nucleotide ribosomal RNA is filed under the name uncultured bacterium. RNAcentral describes it as "partial 16S ribosomal RNA". It matches the Rfam family "Bacterial small subunit ribosomal RNA", at positions 28 to 507 of the family's 1533-position model. The record is from RNAcentral.